GGGCCUGUAGCUCAGCUGGGAGAGCGUCUGACUGGCAGUCAGAAGGUCAGCGGUUCGAUCCCGCUCAGGUCCACCA
This 76-nucleotide transfer RNA is filed under the name Chloroflexota bacterium. RNAcentral's name for it is "Chloroflexi bacterium tRNA-Ala". It matches the Rfam family "tRNA". Rfam says of the family: Transfer RNA (tRNA) molecules are approximately 80 nucleotides in length. Their secondary structure includes four short double-helical elements and three loops (D, anti-codon, and T loops). Further hydrogen bonds mediate the characteristic L-shaped molecular structure. tRNAs have two regions of fundamental functional importance: the anti-codon, which is responsible for specific mRNA codon recognition, and the 3' end, to which the tRNAs corresponding amino acid is attached (by aminoacyl-tRNA synthetases). tRNAs cope with the degeneracy of the genetic code in two manners: having more than one tRNA (with a specific anti-codon) for a particular amino acid; and 'wobble' base-pairing, i.e. permitting non-standard base-pairing at the 3rd anti-codon position. RNAcentral also lists the same sequence under 1 other name. The record is from RNAcentral. Lineage: Bacteria; Bacillati; Chloroflexota.